This is an RNA transcript of Humulus lupulus (European hop), 2059 nucleotides long. RefSeq lists it as uncharacterized. The transcript is spliced from 4 exons. Lineage: Eukaryota; Viridiplantae; Streptophyta; Magnoliopsida; Rosales; Cannabaceae. The record is from RefSeq and is a predicted model, not a curated record.
GAUUUUUUUUUCCUACUGAAAGAAGUUUUGUAACUUAAGUUAUAAAAAUGAUCUCAUUAUGGAUUGGUUUUAUAUCAUAGUAGUCAUUAGUGUAUAUCUCUCAAAAACCGAUAUGAUGGUUUGAAGAUGGCGAUGGAGCCGAAUGUCAACAAUUUUGUUCUGGAAUCUCAGCUUAUUAUGUGCAACAACAGUCAAAGGGGUCGCUUUGAUUUUGAAGACCAAAAGGGUGGCUGCUCCUAUAUAUCUCUGAUUCUGAUUGUGAGAAAGUGACUUUAAUCAGGUUGGGGUUGCUGACACCAGAAGACAUAAUUAUUGAAAUGGAUCAAAAGGAAAAGUGAUUUUGUAGGCUUGUAAGUUUGGCUGGAAAGCAGAAGGGUAUUGGUGGAAAGGAGAUUUGUCAUGUUGUGGUGGACACUUGAUUAUACACAAGAGGCCCAUAUCAGAAAAGCCAUUCCAUGAAGAAAUUAAAAGUGUAAUGCAGGAAAAUGAACAUGGAAAGGAUUCUUGGUACCUUGGCUUGUGUGUUAAGGAUGAAUGGACUGCGUGUCGAUCGAGGAAGACAUUUAUUUAGUCUUUUGAAUUAUGUUUCUUUUGAAAUUCCGCAUUUAGUUUUUGAACAAUUAAUGUAAAGUUGUGUUUUAUGUUUUACAAAAAAUGGGUACCCAUGCCAUACUACAUUUUAAACUUAUAAUUUUAUGUUAUUGAUACAAUAUUUAUUUUGGAGUUUUAAUAAAGUUGUGAUUAUUUCUUAUGUAUAUUUUCUCAAUUAGUAGUAGUUAUUUCUAGCAAGGUCUUAGAAAUAGUUGGGUCGUUACAGGUAACUAAUCAAGUUUGACUUGAUCAAGCAAUGCGUGUACACAUAUGCCACAAGGCAUAUAUAUUUUUGGGAUAUUAGUAGCAUAAGUACCCAAUGUUUGGGGAAAAUACCCGGCAUGGACCCAAUCUUUUUUUUAGUGGGUAAAGUAUCCAAACUUCCUAAAACUGUAAUUUCGUCCAAUUCCGUCAAUAGAGUCUCCGUUAGUGGGCCAUAGUGGACACGUGUAGGCUCCAGAUUAAUCCAAUGUUUAAUUUUUAAAAACAAAAAAAAUAUUUUCAAAUUUAAUUUCAUUAUUAUUAUUAUUUUAUUUUUAAAACCUAAAAAAUAAAACCCCGAGACCCACGAAGAGAAGCCAUUUUCGAAGAGGCUGCAAGGAAGAAGUCGACGGUGGAAGAAGAAGCCAUUUUUGAAGACCUAAGGAAGAAGGAGGACUGGAAAUAUGGAGGGUGAAGGUUCAUUUUGCUCUUCUGGUCGAGUACACAGCAGAGGGAGGUAUUGAGGUAGGGGUCCAGUGAGGUAUGAUGGAGAAACAUGUGAUUGUGGCUUAACGUCGACAUUGAGGACCUCUUGGACUAAUCGAAAUCCUGGUAGAAGAUUCAUAACAUGCUAUAGAAUGAAAGUAAGUUUUUUUUUGUUUUUAAAUUUUCUCUUGUUCUUGAUUAUUCAUGGUUUGAAUGGUGUUCUUGAAAUAACUUGUAUAUUUUCUUCCUUAUUACAGUCAGAGGGGGGAUGUGAUUUUUUUCGUUGGGUGGAUCCAGAAACUUGUCAAGGUGGAAAGGAUUUGAUUCCGGAUUGGGUCAAGAGAAUUGAAGGUGAAGAUUGCAAUGGGGAGGAAAAUGUGGUAAUGAUCAGAGACAUGUAGAAAUAGGUGACAAGAAAAUUGGGAAACAAGUUUGUAUAAUGUGUACUCAUCCAAAUAGUAGUCUUUGGUUGAAUAUAAGUUGGGGGAAACUAUAUUUUUUUUUGGUAGUUGUCAUUGUGCUAGUAUUGCUGCCGAAGUAGUGGUGGUUUUACAAAUGUAAUGGUCUCAUGAGUUGUAACAAUGACAAAUGAAUUGAAAUGAAAUUGUGCUACUUUUUUGUUUGUGAAAAUUGGUGUGUUUUGAUUGACAAUUUUAUGUUAAAUUGUGUUGAGGGCACUUGGUUGUAUUGGUGCAUUUAACAAAUUACAUAAUAACAAUAACAUAGGCAUCAACAUAAAGACCAAUACAACAUUAACCAGUUUUCAGCAAGUUCCUUUGGU